UGCUUACUGCGAUGUGCGUGAGCCACUGUUAUACCCCUUGAGCCUUAAUUACUGCUCAGGAGGCCAGUUUCAUUAUUUUGUGUGCACGCUCGCCACGGCGAGAAGCCUAAUAAAUAAUGAACAGCUUCCGCCUUGAACCGCUUGGUUCAAGGGACGCAGCCUGCCACGGCAUUUGCGGGAGCAC
Molecule: non-coding RNA, 184 nt
Filed under: gamma proteobacterium HTCC5015
Lineage: Bacteria; Pseudomonadati; Pseudomonadota; Gammaproteobacteria
Description: 6S / SsrS RNA
Rfam family: 6S / SsrS RNA
About the family: E. coli 6S RNA was the first non coding RNA to be sequenced, but its function was unknown until recently. It consists of 184 nucleotides that fold into an extended hairpin structure with a large single-stranded internal bulge.
Source: Rfam by way of RNAcentral